CCACGGUGUGAUUCAUGACUGGGGUGAAGUCGUAACAAGGUAGCCGUAGGGGAACCUGCGGCUGGAUCACCUCCUUAAU
RNAcentral lists this ribosomal RNA (79 nucleotides) under Pseudomonas hunanensis. Its description in RNAcentral is "partial 16S ribosomal RNA". It matches the Rfam family "Bacterial small subunit ribosomal RNA", at positions 1457 to 1533 of the family's 1533-position model. Lineage: Bacteria; Pseudomonadati; Pseudomonadota; Gammaproteobacteria; Pseudomonadales; Pseudomonadaceae. RNAcentral also lists the same sequence under 1 other name. The record is from RNAcentral.